RNAcentral lists this ribosomal RNA (239 nucleotides) under uncultured bacterium. RNAcentral describes it as "partial 16S ribosomal RNA". It matches the Rfam family "Bacterial small subunit ribosomal RNA", at positions 95 to 334 of the family's 1533-position model. The record is from RNAcentral.
UUGGCGGACGGGUGAGUAACGCGUGGGUAACCUGCCUCAUACAGGGGGAUAACAGUUGGAAACGGCUGCUAAUACCGCAUAAGCGCACAGUACCGCAUGGUACCGUGUGAAAAACUCCGGUGGUAUGAGAUGGACUCGCGUCCAAUUAGCUAGUUGGUGAGGUAACGGCCCACCAAGGCGACGAUUGGUAGCCGGACUGAGAGGUUGAACGGCCACAUUGGGACUGAGACACGGCCCAA